This 497-nucleotide ribosomal RNA is filed under the name uncultured bacterium. RNAcentral describes it as "partial 16S ribosomal RNA". It matches the Rfam family "Bacterial small subunit ribosomal RNA", at positions 28 to 507 of the family's 1533-position model. The record is from RNAcentral.
GAUGAACGCUGGCGGCGUGCCUAAUACAUGCAAGUCGAGCGAACAGAUGAGGAGCUUGCUCCUCUGACGUUAGCGGCGGACGGGUGAGUAACACGUGGAUAACCUACCUAUAAGACUGGGAUAACUUCGGGAAACCGGAGCUACUACCGGAUAAUAUAUUGAACCGCAUGGUUCAAUAGUGAAAGACGGUUUUGCUGUCACUUAUAGAUGGCUCCGCGCAGCAUUAGCUAGUUGGUAAGGUAACGGCUUACCAAGGCAACGAUGCGUAGCCGACCUGAGAGGGUGAUCGGCCACACUGGAACUGAGACACGGUCCAGACUCCUACGGGAGGCAGCAGUAGGGAAUCUUCCGCAAUGGGCGAAAGCCUGACGGAGCAACGCCGCGUGAGUGAUGAAGGUCUUCGGAUCGUAAAACUCUGUUAUUAGGGAAGAACAAAUGUGUAAGUAACUAUGCACGUCUUGACGGUACCUAAUCAGAAAGCCACGGCUAACUACGUG